Molecule: non-coding RNA, 49 nt
Filed under: Schistosoma bovis
Lineage: Eukaryota; Metazoa; Platyhelminthes; Trematoda; Strigeidida; Schistosomatidae
Also listed under: 1 other name
Source: RNAcentral
AUCCAGUUGACGCGACCCAAAAUAGGACGAAACGUGCGUCAAGCUGGAU